AGAGUUUUGAUCCUGGCUCAGGAUGAACGCUAGCUACAGGCUUAACACAUGCAAGUCGAGGGGCAGCAUGGAGGUAGCUUGCUAUCUCCGAUGGCGACCGGCGCACGGGUGAGUAACGCGUAUCCAACCUUCCCUGAGGUAGGGGACAGCCCGGUGAAAACCGGAUUAAUACCCUAUGUUGUCACGAAAAGGCAUCUGGGCGUGACGAAAGAUUGAUCGCCUCAGGAUGGGCCCGCGUCAGAUUAGCCAGUUGGCGGGGUAACGGCCCACCAAAGCGACGAUCUGUAGCCGGACUGAGAGGUCGGACGGCCACAUUGGGACUGAGACACGGCCCAAACUCC
This 341-nucleotide ribosomal RNA is filed under the name uncultured Prevotella sp. RNAcentral describes it as "bacterial SSU rRNA". It matches the Rfam family "Bacterial small subunit ribosomal RNA", at positions 8 to 339 of the family's 1533-position model. Lineage: Bacteria; Pseudomonadati; Bacteroidota; Bacteroidia; Bacteroidales; Prevotellaceae. The record is from RNAcentral.